Molecule: long non-coding RNA, 4563 nt
Filed under: Oncorhynchus kisutch (coho salmon)
Lineage: Eukaryota; Metazoa; Chordata; Actinopteri; Salmoniformes; Salmonidae
Description: lncRNA (ENSOKIG00005040610.1)
Source: RNAcentral
AUGGAAUACCAUUGUCAUGCAAAUAAAGGACGCGUAAAAUAUCCCCCUCGCGCGCACUGCAGAGCAGAGACUCACUGGGAUCGCACGAAGGACGCGAAGCACGGGGCACGCGGGGGAAUUUCAUACUACGUCGUCGCCAGAACCCGUCCAAUUGUCACAGCCACCCUUGCCAGACGAACUGCGGCGGCUCCAGGAUCCUGCAGGCAAGAGGGUAAAAUCGCAAGAACCAACCUGCCCAGAUUCAACUGCAUUUUAUUCACCUUGUUUGGAGAUAACCGUGGCCGUUCUUCCAGAAUACCUACAGAAGAAAAGUUUCAACUGUCGCUCUGCUCCAUCUCUGCAAUAUAACAUAUACUACCUGUUGCUGCUAGUAACAACGGAGGAGAAGAGGGGGAGACUACACCUUGCGACACUUGGAUCUCUUAUAAACACACUUUGUAGGGAGUUGGAUUUCGCAACCUUUAAUCUUUUGCACACCAAGUGUGUUAUUUUGUCUAUGUCCAUUUUGGGAUAUUAGUGGUUUUACCAUAUCUAUAAUAUACACGUUUUUAAAGUGCCUUACAACUGGUAUUAAUCCAGUAUUUGGUGGGUAUUCCAACGCCAGAGACUCCAAUCAGUGACUAUCAGAUAGAAAGGCACAGGAUCUAUCUCUAUAUCCCGGUCUCACCAUGAGUCAAGGGGAUGUAUCAACUUGCUCUGCGCCUCAGAUCGUAUUCCAAGAGGCGGUGAAGCAAGGCAACACAAAGGAACUCCACUCGUUGCUCCAGAACAUGACAAACUGCGAAUUCAAUGUCAACUCCUUCGGGCCCGAAGGACAGACGGCGUUGCAUCAGUCAGUCAUCGAUGGGAAUCUCGAACUUGUAAAACUGCUGGUGAAAUUCGGAGCCGAUAUUCGAUUGGCGAACAGGGAAGGGUGGAGUGCCUUACACAUUGCCGCUUUUGGAGGACAUCAAGACAUAGUCCUAUACCUCAUCACUAAGGCAAAGUACUCCUCUGGCGCACGGUGAUCUGCUACACUGCUGUCAGGUAAACACACGGAAAGCCAGGCUCUUGUAUAUUAGCGUUUCGAUCUAUAGUUGUGCCAAAUUAUAGCCUACAAAACACAGCAACUUCCCUUUCAUCAAAACCAAACGGGGGUCUCUCUCACUCGUGAGUCAAACGCCACAUGGUUCUUGUAUCCGCUUCAGCAUAAAAAAACGCCAUUUUGUUGGGUUGGUACUAAAGCUUUUUCCUUGAACGUGUAUAAUAGAUUGGGACGUAUAAAAUAACUAAGCCAGUGUUUGGGUCCCGAGACCUGAUAGCAGCCUAGUUUUACGCAGCGAUAGACUUUCUAUAGAUUUUUUUGUCGCGGUUACAUUGAAACACUUUUUUAUUGGGCUUCGUAUUGAGGUGUUGCCUUGUAACUGCGGUGGUCACACAGGACCCUUUUUAAAUGAUUUUAUAUACUAAAAGAUGGCACUUGUUGCUGUAGCUGCAUGCUGGAAUAUAUGAAAGGGAAGAAAAGGUGAACACGGGAAAUGAAGGCCAUACUAUAUUUGGCUAUUUCUUUUUUAAAUUAUAGGAUUUGAUCUAUUUCAAAGAGCAGCAUUAUUAGGCCUAUAUAUAUUACACCCAACCGGCAUUUCCAGAUGUGUAUCAUUGUAACAACUAUUGACUUAAUGUUGUUAAGUACUUUACACAAUAGCUUUACUUUGUUUCUUUAUAAUAAAAAAGUAGCUAAAUGCGCCCUGCCUCCUUCAAGCAGGCUGCUGGCAUGUAUCAAUGUCUCUUCGGGCCAGUGCGACCGCAGUGUCAAUGGUUAAUGUGAUAUAAACCGCUGCUUUCGCUUUGUAUCAAAACGUCAGGAAAGUGGCAUUUGGAAUUCACUUUAAUCUCCUUUCAGUAUUUUAACGAACAACACCCUGGUCAUCACUGUGAAUACAGGCUGGGUUCUAUUUAUGAAGGUACAUUGACCAGAUGCAUUUUGAAAAUUCUGUGGUUAUUCUUUUCAAAUCAAAUCUGUUACGUUUAAGAAUAUUUAGGGUGACUUAUAAAGCUGCUUCAGACUCUAUGCUUAUCAUAGUAUAAACUAUCCUGUGUGGAGACCCCAUGUUACAAUAAGCCUAAAUUUGACCUUGCUAAAGAGAGACUCUUCUUUGUCCCUCAUUAACUUCUUGUUUGGUUUUAUUUGCCAACUACCUCGACUGUAAAGUAUUCAAAACCAUUGGACUCUUGCUCACUCCACAACACUCCAAUAUGGGGAGUCACUCACAUCCUUUAGCACAGUGGAUCCCAACCAUUUUUGGUUACUGUACCUGAAGUACCCCCUCAGGUGCAUUUUAUCAGUAGGCCUAUGGUCUGAUGAGUCUUCUCAAGUACCCCCUGUUGAUAAGGCCCCCCCCCCCCCCCCUAGUUGGAAACCACUGAUCUAGCCUAUCCCCAAGCCUGCCUUAUAGGCCAGAAAUAAUGCUCAUUCCCACAGACAUUUUAAGUAAUAGCUAUUUUAGCAGUAGGCCCCAAGCCAAUGUUAUUUAACCCAGUGAUAUAGGCUAGGAGACAACUAUGGUGUUUCUUCUGCAAAGCAAUAAUGUCUAUUUCAUAUUAAUCAAGCCCGUUUCUUAUCUUCAUCUGGGAUGAAUUUAUUUCCCACACUACAACCAAACUGUAAUCUGACAAGCAAAGCGUUUUAUUUUUUUUUGCCUUUCUGUAAAGGUAUGGUUGCAAACACACAUUGCCUUUCUGUAAAGGUAUGGUUGCAAACACACAUUGCCUUUCUGUAAAGGUAUGGUUGCAAACACACAUUGCCUUUCUGUAAAGGUAUGGUUGCAAACACACAUUGCCUUUUUUUUGUUUUAUACAUUAUAUAGUCGUUCUGUUUGAAGUUUCUAUUUAGUCACAAAAAUUGCAUUUUAUUGCCUGACUUAUAAAUGCAGGGAGUUUUAUUGCACAAAAUGCAGAGCCUUUUUACGCCCCCUGGUGCCUGUCCGGGUAACUGCAGGAGUUGAGGCUUAGAAAUAGUUACUACUGAGCAGGAGUAAAACAUUUUAUUACUCUCAUGUUAUGAUGACUAACAUCUACAUGACUAUUGCAGGAUAUAUAUAUAAAACAAAUGGUUUAAACUGCCUGCUGCAUUUUGAAAGUCAUGGCACCCUAAUGUUUGUCCACUGCUGCUUGUAUGAUUUAUAUUAGAUUUGACUCAAUGGCCAACAGUAAGUGAAAGAAAAAUAUCUGAUAGCAUCACAGUCAUUCAAUGAAAAUCUCUCUCUGUGCGUGUGUGUGUGUGUGUGUGUGUGUGUGUGUGUGCCCAUGCGUAUGAAUGAAUGAAUGUGUGUAUAUGUCUGUGUGUGCUGCAUUCAUCUGACUGUUGUGUCCUGAGUGAGUUGAGCUGUGUUCCCCUUCCCUGGCCUGUGUGUGGCCUGCUCCUCUCCUCGAGUGUGUGGCUUUAUGUUGCUACCUGGGGGUCUUCCCUCCCUACAGUAAGGAGAGACACCAGGGAUGAAGGACUGUCCUUCCAUGUACCUGGAAAAGCAAACUAAAUGGAUUAGAAAGAAACAUCAAGGAAUAGAUUGGUUUUAGUGGAACAAAAAAAUAUGCAUCGCUUGUCUUAAACUUGAUAUUUUUUAUAUAUAUAUAUAUAUUUUAAAUAUUGCACUGACUGUUGUUGAUUAAGUUGACUUUUUAUCAAGUCAAAUUGUAUUGUUUUUCCGAAUAGAACAAAAGGAACACAACAAAAUACUAUUGUAUAAAAACAACAACAGGUUGUAAUGUUUUGUGUGUUAACUUUGUGAAACAUUGUGUUAAGGCAAAGAUUGUUUGAAUCUUUGUGAUCGGGUAUGUGUUUAUAUACAGUACCAGUCAAACGUUUGGACACCUACUCAUUCAAGGGUAGGUAUAACAAAUAAAGAGAAACCCUGGAGUGAGUGGGUGGGUCCUGACUUUUGACUGGUACUGUUUAUAUAUAAUAUGCUGAAAUAUCUUGGAGCACUUUCUUUUCUGAAGUGCUGUCCUCCUCCUGUUGUUAUGAAAGGGGAAAAAUACAUUUGAUGGUAAGAUCAUUGUUACAAAAAAAAUUGCACAGCGUAUGGUUGUUCUACUCAAGUGUCAUAACAUUUAUGGCCCGAGAGAGGACGACUGGAUAGGUGUAAAUGAAUGAGAGUGCUAACGUUUAAAUAAAUACAUUGGGCCGUGGCGUGUUCUGUUUUCGUUAGGCUUUUUUUCGAGCGAAACAAAAACCAAUGUCUGAGUUUAAUGAGUGAUGCUGAAGUUCCAUCGUGUUUUGAUUUGGGGUUUUCUUGUUUUUGUUGUGUAUUUUGAACAUUUGUAACACUGUGAUCAUGAUGUGUGUUGACAAAAUGAGUGCUGUAAUAUUUUUGUACGUUUGUGUACAAGCCAGUAAAAAAAAUCUUUAAACUCUGUGUGUCUAUGCAUGUUUCUUUUUCCUUACAGUCCCAGCCCCCGUUACCCAUAGAGAAAAAUAGUGACGGGCACAUACCCCUCUUCUCUCCCGUUCUCCCAGACUAGCCCAGAUCCCCUCUUCCCCCUCUCCCAGGCCAUCCGGAUCCCCAUUCUCUCCCUUUGUUAUUC